GACGAACGCUGGCGGCGCGCUUAAUACAUGCAAGUCGAGCGAGAACUAGGGCUUCGGCCCUGGGGACAGCGGCGAACGGGUGAGUAACACGUGGGUAAUCAACCCCCGACACCGGGAUAGCCCAGGGAAACUUGGAUUAAUACCGGAUGCCCCAUCUGGCUUUCGAGCCGGCUGGAAAAGGGUAGCUUCGGCCUCCGGUCGGGGACGAGCCCGCGGCGGAUUAGCUUGUUGGGGAGGUAAAGGCUCACCAAGGCGACGAUCCGUAGCUGGUCGGAGAGGACGAUCAGCCACACUGGGACUGAGACACGGCCCAGACUCCUACGGGAGGCAGCAGUAGGGAAUCUUGCGCAAUGGGCGAAAGCCUGACGCAGCGACGCCGCGUGAGGGAAGAAGGCCUUCGGGUUGUAAACCUCUUUCAGGAGGGACGAAGCCACUCGGGUUAAUAGCCUAGAGGGUGACGGUACCUCCAGAAGAAGCCCCGGCUAACUACGUGCCAGCCGCCGCGGUAA
Molecule: ribosomal RNA, 509 nt
Filed under: uncultured bacterium
Lineage: Bacteria
Description: partial 16S ribosomal RNA
Rfam family: Bacterial small subunit ribosomal RNA
Source: RNAcentral